AUGAUGGUUUGGUUGCUUUUCAUUAUAAGUCUUAUGGGGCUUUUUUGAUACACUGAAAAAGCCCCAUAAUCUUCUGUGGUAGAUUUACCCACUACAGUU
Molecule: non-coding RNA, 99 nt
Filed under: uncultured Streptococcus sp.
Lineage: Bacteria; Bacillati; Bacillota; Bacilli; Lactobacillales; Streptococcaceae
Source: RNAcentral